CUUGAAAGAAUCCACCGCGACCGAAUCAAAAUAACCAAUCAGAGCCAGGAGGCGUGUCUAAUUGAGUGUCAAUCACGCAUACGAAUAAGGGACAUCGAGAACUUUGCAAAAGCAAUGAUGGAUAAGCGAGCGCCUUCAGUUAAAAAAACGACCCAUCCCUCCUUCCAACAACAGCUUACACGACAAAGACGACAAUGUUGACAUUUCACAACGUGCGCAGCUGACUCCUCUGAGGGGAGGCGGGACUGCAGCGAAAGGGGGGCGGCGUCUGGUAGUUGUACUCGUGUGGAAUUUUCCAAGGUAUAAGCGCUCUCAUUACAGUCUUAUCGACAGCAACUUUAAUGAUGAUUUAGAAGGGAGUCAUUUAUUUGGUCUCAGAUGACAAGAAGAAAUUAAUAAUUAAGUUUUUCCUUUUUUUUUUCAAAAUGACAGGGAGCUGUUCCUAAAUGUUUGGUGAGCCUCUGCUCUUGCAAAUAACCUCUUACAACUUUAGCGCUAAAUUGUGCCAGUACGUGCAAUAUAUGGUGAAAUGAACGUGGUGUUGUGCAAUACCGCCAUCUACUGGACGAAUCCUCUAUUCCUAUCAUUCAACCCUAUUACUGGGGGCAGAUAAAAGCAUAGUCUUCAAGCUUCACUGGACACUGGGAAGGAGACCUGAAUGCGACUGAGAGUCAAGCACGCUGCUGUUGUGUACUUCAGCGCUGCCGUGUGCCUUCGGUAAUCAUUAACGUAGAUUAGCUGCCAACCACCUUUACGGUCAUUGCUCUCAAUGUCAAAAGCUGUCCUAGCAUUUCCACAGGCUUUUGUUGUUACUGUUGUCGUUGGUACUGUUGAAAACAAAGGGCAGGAUUGGGAAGGAGUUUUCCUGCAAGGUCCAUGAGAGGAAUGAGAAGGCGUGCGCGAUGCUUAACAUAUAAAUCCAAUGGAUGUGCAGGUUCCAUGCAAUCUCUCAAGCCUCGAGUGUGUUGAAGCCUCAGGACCCGUAGCAGUCAUCAUCAUUCCCGGUCUCCUGGCUCUCGCUACGCUGACCAUCGUCUCUCUGAUUAUAUGGAGCUUCCUGACGAGGACUCGCGAAAACAGGCGCCGUUGCUUCUGGUGUGGUGGUUAACACUCACGAGUAUUGGCACGAUGUGGUCAAACAAGAGAGAUUUUUGAGAAAUUCACAUAAUGUUUUUGCCGCACCAGCAUGAAAAGCAGCUAAAGAGCCGGAACCUGCCACUCUGUGGUCAAAUGAUAGCAUGCGCAAAGUUAUGUUUAACACAGAGCUCUGAAGUCAACUACCCAGAAUGAAACAGUUUAGCGGUGUGAUCAUUUAUAAGUGCAGCAGAAGGGAAUGUGGAGCAGAAGGGAAUGUGGCCUUGAACCGACUGUUUAAUCUCCUCUGACAUUGUUACAAACUGGAAAAUAUUAACGACAUCCUUCCAAGAGGCAGCAUUAAUACUGUUUUGAGAACAUAUAUCUGUCACACUUAAUCACAAUUUAAAAAAAAGAAGCAAAUGGUAUCCAAACAGGAUAUUCAGGUUUAUAUUUUAUGUUAGGAUUUGAUAAAACACCCCCUUCUGCAUGACGUCUUGUUCAUGUCAUGUAUGUUAUUUAUAUAUUCAUUUACAAAUAUUAAAAUAUGUUAUAUAUUAAAUGUGUGCUAUAUUAUACAUACAUACGUACUACAAAUAUAUUUUGCCCAUCUGUGGCCUCUUCCUCUAUUACCCAUUUGCCAUGGCACAUAGAUUAUUUAAGGUUUUGCGUUAGAUGACAUUCAAGAGUCCCUGUUUGCAGGAGCACAAACAACCGCGAGUCCAAAGUAUUUGUGGCGCUGGCCGGGCUCGACGUGGCGCCUGGCCUACACGACCGCACAGCGGGAACGCUUCCCACGGACCUCCACGCACUGCAGUAAACCUGCUGCUCCUUCGAUGGCAGCUUCAAGAGGAGAAAAUUGCAAUUGUUGGAUAAAUGGAUGGAUAAUUUACAGAAAUUUUGGAAUAUGUGCCGGGUAGGGUCGGUCCGUAAUAUCUAAUGGCCAGUCAAGUCUGCUUCGGGACCGAUGAGUCGCCUUCUUACCCAAACUGCACGGUCUGCAAUUUCUAUAAGUACAGAAGUGAGCUCUUUCCGGUCUCAGGACUACCUGCUGUGAGCCUACAGUCUGGUGCACGGCGAUCGUUGGUGGUGUCAGGAUUCGUCUUGGCGUCGCAGGUUAAGACGGUGGGAAAGGUAGAGGCAGCUCAAGAGCCUCGGAAAACGCAGGCGCCAGUGCGACACGCGAGGAUCCGCGUCCCAGCAAAGAGUGACACGCAAGUGUGCGACCACGCUGUGAGUUAGCUCGAGUCACUCAUCAACGUUAAUGCCGACACUGUCAUACCGCCUUCAGGGAAAGAUCAUUACCGAGUACACCCUGCUAACGUGCUUAAGGAGUUUUGUAAGGAUUUCUUCUGGAAUCUCUGGAUUGCUUUUAUGUUUUACUCCAUUAUUGAAAGGAAUAAAGAACGGACUUCAGUCCAACCUUUCUGGUUCACUCCACUUUGGGAAAAGAAGUAAUCAGUUUGGCUCACCCAAUCUCUCAUCAAGGACUAUUUGAAAACCUUUGGAGCAUAAACAACUUACAGUUUUAGAUUGAUACAAAUUCAUUAUACAUACUUUAUAUAUUAUGAUUACACAUGAUCAAAAACGCACUUUUGUAAACAUUUUAAUUCAGAAGUAAUAAAAUUAGAGCAGUUCAAUUGUAGAUAGAUAGCGCAGUACACGCAUCACUGUACAUUGUUUUAGAUCUAAAGUAUUUGUAUCAUAAAAUGUUCCAUGUCCACCAAAUUUCUUACAACGGUCAACUACCUGGGAUAUAAAACUCUUAAGGUGCUGCUUCCUUCAUUAAACCUAUCGUUGUUGUUGUUGUUUUUUUUCUUCCAAAUAUUGUCAUGGAGUAAUGUUAAUCAAACUGUACAUUCAAUUCUGUUUUCAGUAGUAAUCUAAAAUCAAGAUUCUACCAAAAAAAGAAUCACCCAAAAUGUCCCUGCUUGUGGUGCUACUCUCGCAGGUGCCUCUCGAGGGUGUGACCUCAUGAUCAAAUGCUACAUGUGCAACUUUUGAUAGCUUUUCUCAACACACCGAUAGGGUCAUGCAGCCAUCUGACUGAUAUCAGACCCUCCGCCACGACGACCUCAACACCUACACUGAAGAUCCGGAGACGACGUUCACAAACAUUGUGUGCGUGAUAAACGGGACAGCGCAGCUGGCCUUUUCCAAAAGUGUUUCACUGGCACCCCCUAGUGGCGCAGCCGAAGCGCAUUUACACUUGCAGGGUCGCUAGUUUGAGCCCCAGUGAUGCCCAGCAAUGCUAAAGCCGUUCGCAGUUCGGAGUUCAAGGGAGCAAAAAAUGGGAGGAACACUACCUACUGUAGCAAAAAGCUGCAACCAGCCAAUCGUGGACGACCGUGUGCUUCUUGUGCUUGCUGGUGAAGGUUGGUUAACGCUUUCCGCAGACUGCGUUCAGCUGCCCUGCGUCUUAGUGUGAGCAGCAGCUUGAGAAGAUGCAGUGCUUGGCUUUGCGUGUCUCACGUUCUCGCCAAACGCGCCACGGCUGGGUAGCUCUCAUAUGUUCUGAGGCUUAGCUAGCUGGUGGGUGGGAACUGGCAUAAUAAUUAAGUUUGGAGAAAAACAAAGGAAAAAAUUAAGAGUUCGAUGAUUUUUUUCUUCUUUUAAAAAACAUCUUCAUAGUUGUCAGUUUAUUAAAGAUGCAACAGACCGUGCUCAAAUCAACAGGGGUAAAAGAUGUUAUGUUCAGUACUCCACUGAAUCAAAGGUUAGUGCCAUUCUUCCUUGGAACCUAUAAAGUUUGUGGGAGCUACUUAUGGAAAAUGAAACACCUGUAUAUGAAAUUACUUUAGCCUGGUAAUCAGAAACCCCUUAAAACAGAGGCCAGAAUGCACAGCAGCAACUGCAACCCACUCAGCCAAGUGUAAUUAAUGCACAAGGUGAACUAAGAAAUGCAAAUGUUUACCUGUCUUAGGCUUUUAUUAUGUAGUAACAAGUCAAGAGGAACUGAAAGGAAGGACAAGCUGUAUCCCGUGCCAGUUUGGUCCUCUCUGAAUGAUGCUAAAGUGAUCUCGUUGAAAAUGACAGUGGUUGGUGUGUGUAAACACUUGAUUUAGAGUUCUUGCUUGUAUGAAUGACAAUUUAGAGCUGUUGAGUCCGCUUUGAAUAUUUGGGCAUUUCCUCACACACACAUCACUUUGAGUAUUUUGACUAGAUAUCCAAUCAAUCAGUAUGCCAAUUAUUCUAAAUAUAUGCAUGAUGUGAUCUACAUUAUAGUUGUGGUCUGUAUUUCAACAAUAUCAACUCUCAAAACAUCCACCAAAACAGUAUAAUCGACAGCAGCACUAACAUCCUCUAAUGUUU
This is a non-coding RNA of Electrophorus electricus (electric eel), 4386 nucleotides long. The record is from RefSeq and is a predicted model, not a curated record. Lineage: Eukaryota; Metazoa; Chordata; Actinopteri; Gymnotiformes; Gymnotidae.